AAAAGGAUAUGAAGCCUUCCCAAGGGAGGCUGGAUCUGACCUGUGAUGAACCAGAAGCAUGUGACAAUGAUAUGGUCAGUAAUGUCCACCUUGGUUCUCUUUGGGACUUGUCUUGAGAUGGACGAGACUUUCAGUUUCGACUUUGUUGGAGUCUCUGCUCUGGUUGUUUGGGAACGUAUGGGGCGUUACAGCAGUAACUCACAGCUGUCCACGUGGAGUAGUGUGGGAUGGAAAAUUGAGAUGAGAGCUGGUAGGGAAUAUCUUGAACGACUGUGGAGCUUAGUGGAAGCUGUUUGCUGCACAUAAAUAGAAUAGGAGGAAGGGGACAAGGAUUGAAUGAGGAGGUAGAAAAGAAAUAUGUGUGGGUAAGUGACCCAGAAAAAUGAAUUCCUGGUAGCAAAGGACACAUGCAUAGUAACUGACCUUGAAGUUUGUCUAACUCACUGAGACUGAUCAUGAAUGUCUUUUUGGAUCAACUUUGCUAUGGGGUUGCCAUGUUCCCAAGUGCUGGUGUUAGUCAGCUUUUCAUCAUUGUGACCAAAAUACCUGACAAGAACAACUUAGAGGUGCUAAAGUUUAUUUUGACUCAUGGUUUCAGAGGUUCAGUCCAUGGUCAGCCUGCUUUAUUGCUCUGUGCCCAAAUGAAGCAGAACAUCAUGGCUGAAGGGUGAGGAGUUGGAGAGGGAGGAGCACUGGUCACUAUAGGGAAGUCAGGAAGGAGAGAGAGAGGGGGUUGGGUGAGGUCAGGAAGCAGCUGCAGCAAAAAUGCAUACUUCCCAGGCAUUCCCCCAAAGACGCACCUCCAGACACAGCCCAUGUAACUAGGGUUACCACCCAGUUGGUCCACUCAAACUAUCAAUCCACUGAUUAGGUUACAGCUCUUAUACUCUAGUUAUUUCCUCUCCUGCAUUUACACCGGAGCUUUGGGGGACACUUCAGAGCCAAGCCAUAAUAGCUGGUAAACUACUUCAUAACAGCCCUCUUUUUUUUUAUGCCUAGCCAGUCAUUUUCAGAGCUAUCUGUUUGCCUUAGUUCCUGGAAUGUCUGAAGUAUUUCAUAAUCAUUUCUUGAAUACAUGAAUACUUUAAGUAUUUUACACUGCAUUUGGCAAUUGGGUUACAUAGGUGGAUAGAACCACAUCACAGAGAAAAGAAGAGGUUAGACAGAAAAGUCUUACAAGAGUCAUGGUACUUACUAGCUGGGUAGAUGGUGUACACCUGUAAACUCAGCAGCAACAGAGGCUGAGGCAGGAGGAUUGCAAGUUCAAAGCCAGCCUAAGCAACUUAGCAAGGCCCUAAGCAACUCAUGGAAAUCCUGUCUCUAAAUAAAAUAUAAAAAGGCUGGGGAUGUGGCUCAGUGGUAAAGCACCCCUGGGUUCAAUCCCUGACACACACACACACACACACACACACAAGUCAUGGUAUAAUGGAAAGAAGAGAGCAGAGAAGUACACAGGACACAUGUAUUUUUUGGCCUGGUUGUGACACCAAUAGGCUUUGUGACUUUAGGUGAUAUAAUUACUUCAGUUCUCCUUUGGAAAGUCAGGGAGCUUUAGUUGAAAAGAAAUAUUAAAUAUUUUAUUUGAAAAUGAAUAUAAAAUAAAUAAUAAUAAAAUUUAAAAAGCUUUUGAAAUGAUACUUGAUAUAUACUGAGUUGAAGGGUAGGAAGUCAAGUGGAAUUAGUUAUAUAUGGGUACUCUCUAAAAAGAGACAAUCAGUUGUUCACUGGAAAAUGUUUCUUUUUUUUCUUAAUUCUUCUUUUUUUUAGUUGUAGAUGGACACAAUACUUUUAUUUUAUUUAUUUUUGUGUGGUGCUGAGAAUUGAACCCAGUGCCUCACAAAUGUGAGAGGAGCACUCUACCACAGCCACAGCCCUGGAGAAUGUUUCUUUUACAUCAAUUUUUCCCAUGUUGAAAUUGGUUCUGCUGGCAUCAUACACCUGAGAGGCAGUUGGCACAUGGGAAACAUCGGAGUUUUUGGAGACAAUCUUGGAUUCUAUACUUUAGACAUGUUGAGGCACACCAAGUAUGAGAAGAAAAGUGAUUAUUGGACUGAUAUGAGGAUGAUCACUCUGGGGGAAUGAGGAAUGAAUUUUAGCCACUUAGAAUUAGUGCUCCCUCCAAAAGGCGUCUGAGGGAUCUGCUUUUUUUUUUUUUUUUUUUGCAGAGAAAAGAGAAAAAUCCAUUAUUUUGUACAAUUAAUAUGCAUUAAUAAUCAUAAUAAGAAAGAAAAAAAUUUACAGCGCAGAAAUAUUUCCCACUAGAUGGGGAAAAACACUCCAAGUUUGCACAUUUAAAUCUACUGAACAUGAAAUACAAGCUCAGUACCUUUUUUUGGGUAAUGUUUUAAGAUUUUUAGUAAAUAAGAGAGCUCUCUUAAAAAAAUGAAAAGAAAAAAAAGGAGUUAUAGAAAACUGUGUUGUUAGGAUUGCAUUAGCUGACAAGAAUAACACAUGAUAUUGAUUGGGGGUUGGUUGCUAAUGUUAUACAUCCCCAGAUAAGAAUUGCCAUAUAAAAGGUUUUCUCAGAGGUUAUUAAUUUUAUGGCAUUAGGGAGCCUGCAGAAAUCUGAGCAUGAGGUCAGAACGAUGCAGAUAUAUGUGGUUUUAUGCUGCAUGGUUCCCUGAGCUAAAGAAUUCUGUAACCUCAUUUCAACUCUGUGUGUGAGCAAGUGACAUUCCGAGUCCUCUCUCAGACAUGUGCCUGGGUAAAUUAUUUACAUUCUUAAAGUUUCAGUUCCUUAUACAGAAUUUCUGUAUAAUAAUGCCUGAAUGGCAACUGUGCUGUAAGGAUUUGAGAUCAGACUUGUGACAUCUUUCAUCCAGUUAGUUUAGCACAUACAAGAAAUUAAAUAAUUGGUAGAUAUUAAUUUUGGUUGUGCAGAAAGCAAUCCCCCUGCUAACAAAGUUUUUUUUUUUUUCUACCAGGAACUUCUCAUCUUUUUAACUGCAUUAAUAAUAGCACCACUGGAGAGGGGUAUGUCAACUGGUCCUAGUUUAAGGAGGUGAAAUUGACAGUAAAGUGGCAACUCUGCCAGAAACAUGUAGCAAUUAAGUGGCAAUUUGGUGUUCCCCAUAUUGUUAUAAUAAUGUCACUGAAGGUGAGCUCAAGAAAUAAAGUUGAAACUUAUUUUAGAUAAAUGUUUUACCGA
Molecule: long non-coding RNA, 3148 nt
Filed under: Marmota monax (woodchuck)
Lineage: Eukaryota; Metazoa; Chordata; Mammalia; Rodentia; Sciuridae
Source: RNAcentral